This is a long non-coding RNA of Drosophila rhopaloa, 817 nucleotides long. RefSeq lists it as uncharacterized. The transcript is spliced from 2 exons. The record is from RefSeq and is a predicted model, not a curated record. NCBI's taxonomy places the organism in Eukaryota, Metazoa, Arthropoda, Insecta, Diptera, Drosophilidae.
CUUUGAUUGAAAGUCGGUUCGAAUGUACAUAUAGACGGAAUUUUUGUUUACCCCUGAUUACUUUUAAAAUCGUAAAAAGUAACUAUUUAUCGAGUUACAUUCGUUAAUGUUAAAGCUUACCAUUAAGACGAGAAAACAGGCCUUAGAGUUUUUCAAAGAUUGUCUGGCUUGGAUUGGUUAAAUAACAAGCUAUACUAUAACACCAUGAGCCCAGCUCAACGACAUCAUAAUUUUGCAGGACUUUUCCAGUCUCAGUUGUGCUUUUGGCACUUCAUUCAUUUGUGAAUGUGACAAGUGCCGACGGGGGAAUGAGAAUUGCUGCUGACGACGCUCAACUUUAUGUUGAUUACCUUUUCUGAUUAUGUCUGAGUGUGUGCGCGAGUCCUUGGCACACGGCGGAAAGCCAGGAUAAAACAAUAAACAUAAACCAAGUGGGACGGCAAGGCAAAACGGGGAAAGGACGUCGGGCAUGAAAUAUGAUUGAAGUCGAAAUGAAAGAUCCCGAGCAACCACUUGUGAGGUGGCUCAUGUGUAGAACGGCAAUCCGGAGACACUCUGGGGACAGGAGUUAAAAAGCUGCAGCUGGCAAAAGGUACAUAAUCACUUUUGCCGGCAACAGCCAAAUUAAAUCCGGCGAAUAUGCACAAACACACUGUAGUCGAGGACCAAGGACCAAGGAGCCGCGGCGUCAACUUACAAUCCCCAAAACAUUCUAAUUGCAAUAAAAAGCAACAUUAACUGGCGCCCAACGGUUGGCUGGCACUCAAAAACUGUCUCCUUCUUUGUAAUAAUCAUCGAAUAAAUUAUGCAAAAAUCA